AUAUUCUUUUGUCUCAAUCAGAUCCUCCAUAUAAUGUAAGCGUGGUCACUAAACCCUCAGUGAAGGAGAAUGACUCUGUGGAACUGUCCUGCUCCAGUGACAGCAAUCCUCCUGCGAACAGCUACCAGUGGUUCAGCUUGAAUGGGACGAUGUUAGCAAAGAGCCCUACUUACAAACUGGAGAGAGUGUCUCGACAUACUGAGGCCAUUUCCUGUACAGCCUUUAACACAGAGGGAAAAAAACAAUUCUGGUCCUCGGAAACUUAAUAUAUUGUAUCCUCCUGAGAUUAAAAGUGAAUCUUCUUGCCAGUCUAAGAUUUUGACGGUUUGUGUCUGUAUUGUGGACUCCAACCCUCCCAGUGAAGUCAAGUGGUUUGGUCCAGAUUCCUCGAAAGCCUUCUCCAGCACCAGCAUUAAACAAAACAAGUCUCUUACCAUAUUCACCUUACAGGGUUGGCUGGGUUUCCCUGAGACUAUCCUGUGCUUUGCCAAUAACAGUCUGGGAAGCUCUUCCUUAACUUUGGAAGCUCCUCAAAAUGGCUUAAUAUACAUUGUUGUUGCAUCAGCAUUUGCAGUUGUGUUAGUCUGUAUUCUUAUGUGUGUUGUGAGAAGACACUGUAGGAACAGAGCUGUGCAACAAACUGUAAUGAAGAAUGAACAGACUCAAAUGAAGACAACCCAACACAAGUUGGAUUUAGAAAAUAAAGAAGAAGAGCGCAGUGAUGGAGGCAUUUACACAAACUGCCCAGACAGUCAUGUUUAUGACAACUCGGUGGGUGAUAAGAGACUAUUGUCAUCUGACAGAGCCUUGGAAGAUGAAGCGGUCUACGCUAACACAUGAAGAAAAGGGCACGUGACAUCCUGCUAGAAAUUAUAAAUUCAGAGAAGGAACAAAGAGGAAAACAAAUGUUUGACUAAUUUAGAUCUUAUUAUUCACUGAAGAUGUUCAGAGGCAAAAAAUGUCUUGCAACUGAAAACAAAAGUACUGUGUAUGAAUAUCAACUCUUUUUACAUUUAAUGUAUAAAGACAAAGUGUGUUUAUAUAUUAUGUAUAGAAUAAUUGAGUUUAAUUAUCAUUCUAAGUCAUAAAAUAGAAAAGAUCUAAGUAUCAUGGUGAAAUAUGUUGUAAAUAUGACCAGAGGUGGAUUUACUAACUGUUCGCGCACGCUCUCUCUCUCUCUCUCUCUCUCUCUCUCUCUCUCUCUCUCUCUCUCUCUUAUUGUUGUUGUUCUAAAGACAUAUAGUAUUACUUUGAUUUUUGCAUAACAAAAAACUAAAUAAAUACAUAUAUAAUGUGUCCUUUUAAUGGCAGUAAAUUGUGGCAAAUGACAAUCUUUUAAAUUAAUGAUUCAGCCACGUCAUUCCAUGUGUUUUGAGGGCAUGUGGUAGGGUUUGCCAUGAAACAAUCUGCAAAUGAAAUCCAUUAUUUUAUGAACAUUUUCUGCCAGUGCAUUCCUGUAGACUACCUUCAUGCAAGUGCGCUGUUGUGACUAUAAUGGGUAGAGUUACGGCUACAAACCUAUUAGAUUGUGUCUUAUUACACAUAACCCAACCCUAGCCUUACGAUAAUGCAAAUACAGUAAAUAACUGUUGUUCGUAAUGACAAACAUUACGCAGUAUUGAUGUGUGCGUGCCUUGGUCGUAGCUGUAUGCAGUUAGUGUCAAAGCAAAUCAUUUUGAGAAAUCAACACAGGCCCUAUAAACCUUCAAAGUAUGUGUAUAUACUCAAUUAAACACCAGUCUGACCAAUGAAAAAACUGGGUGUGCUUCUGAUAUGUGACUUUGACAUACCAUAUCUUUACACCAUCAUCUGCAAGUUACGGGAGUGAAGCCUGCAUUAUUUAUAUUCGCUUGUUAAGUCUGACAUCACAUAGCAGCGCUUCCGUGUCCAAAGGCUGUAUCAGUUACCACGAGAAAACAACAAAAGGUGUUAAUAUAAACUCACAAUGUGAUAGAAUACUAGCGAAAAAGUUAUAAUCUUAACCUUUAACUCCAUACCGAAGUCCCAGAUAGGCAGACAAUGAAAAUAUAAAUAUAAAAAAAUAUAUAUAAACAUUAUUUGUGUUUGGGACGCUGUGAGCACGGAGACUGUAGUGUAUACCGUAAGUUUGAAAGCAUUUAGCUUAAAUGAUUAAUAUGAAUAAACAGUGCUCAUAAACGGCUGCUGAGGUCGUAUUCUCAAGUGAAGCGAGUUGAGGCUUGGACCCAGAAACAGCGCUUCUUACGUCAUCACUUAACAACCGAAUACAGAUGUUCAUUAUAAUCAAUCAAGCUCUUUACACUAAACAGCCAACCAAUAAUGUGCAUUGUAUCUACACUUUGUUUGUUACUGUAAGAGAAUUCUUUACUCAGCAUUGAGCAAAAACUGUUUCGAUGCAUAGUGGGUUCUAACUAAAACACCUCUGAUUCGACAUUGCAUUUAAUAAAUUAACAGAUAUGUCUGUGAUUGGCUACAUUGCUCGACACUGCAAAAACAUAUUAAAAAGACAGCAAUGAACAUCUCCAGAAUGCAAACGCAAACAUAAAUUAAUUGUUUCACCAAUGAGAUGUGACCCGCUGGUUCUUCAAGGCCCUACAUGGCUUACCUCCUUCGAUGAAUAUGAAUUUAAUGAUAAAAAUGGCACAAUAAUAACUGGAGAACAAGUUAAUACUCCAUAUUUAAAGAAGUGUUUGAAAGAAUAUGCCCGGCGUAACUCAAUACGAUUUAUAAAAAUGAGGGUUUUAAGCAAGUAAUAAAGCACUAAAUUUUCCCAGUUUAUCUCAAUUGAGGUUAAUAGAUGCCAUUGAAAUGGUUGGAUAAGACAUUUUCUGAAAACUCUUCAAAUGCAAUCACAUUAGUCAGUCAAAACAGAGCUUAUUGAAUCAAUGACAGUUCAAAUACCUGCUAUCAAUGGUUGUGAGUAUAAUGCUUCAUCACUGACCAACUGAUUGAUCAGAGGAUCCAUUGUGCUCUGUAAUCCUAUUUAAUUUACUCAAUCCAGUCACAUAACAGAAACCGCUCACACAAAGCUGUUCACAACACUCAAUCAGAGCUGAAGUUCAGUAUGGGGUACUCAGCACUAUUUAAAUCCCAAAAACAACUGCAAACCAACUGAGACAUUGAUUCGUAAUCAUCUCAGGUAAAAGCAUCACAUUCCACAAUAUAUCAUGGGCAAUGGAACAUCUAGGCAUCUGAUGACCCAGGACUCUAGAAAAAAUAUUAGGAGAAAUGAAAAACUCACUGAGGAUGACCCAAAGGACAAAGUUCCUUUUGCAGACACCUUAUGGAAAGACAAACCUUCAAAAGUACUGUCCAGGAAAGACUACAGAAUGGCAAAACUAAAUCUUGCACGAGGCAAUCGCAUCCGUUACUGGCAUCUAUCAUCAGCACUGGAGUCUAAGCAGGAGCAAAUUUCAGUGCAUAACUGGGAAAUGUACAAUCCUGCCUUUGUACAGGAGGAAAAUCCACAAAGUUGGCAGACCAGUUAAUAUACGGACACCUAUUGUCAGGACUAAUGUCAGGACCUCUUAAAAACCUCUUGAAAGAAUGAGGUGGAUUUGAUUUGUAAAAGUGUGUUUUGGAAAUAUUCAGAAAACGGUUCCAUUCAAAUAUUUAAAUAAUAUUUGAGUUGCUCCUGCUUGUCUUUAAAAAGGUUCCUCCCUUCAUUCAUUGUCAGUGGAUGCCAUGGAUUUUGAUAAAUGAUCAAUUGUACCCUAUUUCUGAAAACAUGUCCAAAUCAGCAUUUCAAAGAUGAAUUUGCUAUAUAUGAAUGAUAGCCAUAUUCGGAUAAAUAAUCUCCAACACUUAUUGUGAUUUAGAAUUGAUCAAAUUCUCAAAGAAGAGUUAUGAUUUUGGUGGAUUUAUAAAUAAAAAUUACAACUUAA
Long non-coding RNA from Carassius gibelio (silver crucian carp), 3863 nucleotides. RefSeq lists it as uncharacterized. The record is from RefSeq and is a predicted model, not a curated record. The transcript is spliced from 7 exons. NCBI's taxonomy places the organism in Eukaryota, Metazoa, Chordata, Actinopteri, Cypriniformes, Cyprinidae.